RNAcentral lists this ribosomal RNA (510 nucleotides) under uncultured bacterium. RNAcentral describes it as "bacterial SSU rRNA". It matches the Rfam family "Bacterial small subunit ribosomal RNA", at positions 29 to 518 of the family's 1533-position model. The record is from RNAcentral.
ACGAACGCUGGCGGCGUGCUUAACACAUGCAAGUCGAACGGGGCGAAGAGGAGCUUGCUCUUCCUAGCCUAGUGGCAAACGGGUGAGUAACGCGUAGGCAACCUGCCCUUCAGAUGGGGACAACAUUUCGAAAGGAAUGCUAAUACCGAAUGAUGUGCAUUGGUCGCAUGACCGAUGUACCAAAGGCCGGGCAACCGGUCACUGAAGGAUGGGCCUGCGUCUGAUUAGCUAGUUGGUGGGGUAACGGCUCACCAAGGCGACGAUCAGUAGCCGGUCUGAGAGGAUGAACGGCCACAUUGGGACUGAGACACGGCCCAAACUCCUACGGGAGGCAGCAGUGGGGAAUCUUCCGCAAUGGGCGCAAGCCUGACGGAGCAACGCCGCGUGAGUGAAAGAAGGUUUUCGGAUCGUAAAGCUCUGUUGUCAGGGACGAGAGACUUGAUCAGGAAAUGGGUCAAGGAGGACGGUACCUGACGAGAAAGCCACGGCUAACUACGUGCCAGCCGCCGC